AACUCGCCUGCACGAAGUCGGAAUUGCUAGUAAUCGUAGGUCAGCAUACUACGGUGAAUACGUUCCCGGGCCUUGUACACACCGCCCGUCAAACCAUGAGAGUUGGCAACACCCGAAGUCGGUAGUCUAACCGCAAGGAGGGCGCUUCCUAAGGUAAGACCGAUGACUGGGGUGAAGUCGUAACAAGGUACC
Molecule: ribosomal RNA, 192 nt
Filed under: uncultured bacterium
Lineage: Bacteria
Description: partial 16S ribosomal RNA
Rfam family: Bacterial small subunit ribosomal RNA
Source: RNAcentral